GACGAACGCUGGCGGCGUGCCUAACACAUGCAAGUCGAACGGUAAGGCCCUUCGGGGUACACGAGUGGCGAACGGGUGAGUAGCACGUGGGUGAUCUGCCCUGCACUUCGGGAUAAGCCUGGGAAACUGGGUCUAAUACCGGAUAGGACCACUGCCUGCAUGGGUGGUGGUGGAAAGCUUUUGCGGUGUGGGAUGGGCCCGCGGCCUAUCAGCUUGUUGGUGGGGUGAUGGCCUACCAAGGCGACGACGGGUAGCCGGCCUGAGAGGGUGACCGGCCACACUGGGACUGAGAUACGGCCCAGACUCCUACGGGAGGCAGCAGUGGGGAAUAUUGCACAAUGGGCGCAAGCCUGAUGCAGCGACGCCGCGUGAGGGAUGACGGCCUUCGGGUUGUAAACCUCUUUCAGCACCGACGAAGCGCAAGUGACGGUAGGUGCAGAAGAAGGACCGGCCAACUACGUGCCAGCAGCCGCCGCAG
RNAcentral lists this ribosomal RNA (478 nucleotides) under uncultured bacterium. Its description in RNAcentral is "partial 16S ribosomal RNA". It matches the Rfam family "Bacterial small subunit ribosomal RNA", at positions 28 to 523 of the family's 1533-position model. The record is from RNAcentral.